GACGAACGCUGGCGGCGUGCUUAACACAUGCAAGUCGAACGGUGAAGCGCCUUCCUUUUUGGUGGGUGUGGAUGAGUGGCGAACGGGUGAGUAACACGUGAGUAACCUGCCCCCUUCUUCUGGAUAACCGCAUGAAAGUGUGGCUAAUACGGGAUAUUCUGGGUCUGUCGCAUGAUGGGUCUGGGAAAGAUCUUGUUUCGGUGGGGGAUGGGCUCGCGGCCUAUCAGCUUGUUGGUGGGGUGAUGGCCUGCCAAGGCGGUGACGGGUAGCCGGCAUGAGAGGGUGGACGGCCACACUGGGACUGAGACACGGCCAAGACUCCUACGGGAGGCAGCAGGGGGGAAUAGUGCACAAUGGGCGCAAGCAUGAUGCAGCGACGCGGCGGGAGGGAUGGAGGCCUGCGGGUUGUGAACCUCUUUCGCCAGUGAAGCAGGCCUGCCUCGUUUGUGGGUGGGUUGACGGUAGCUGGAUAAGAAGCGCCGGCUAACUACGUG
RNAcentral lists this ribosomal RNA (494 nucleotides) under uncultured bacterium. Its description in RNAcentral is "partial 16S ribosomal RNA". It matches the Rfam family "Bacterial small subunit ribosomal RNA", at positions 28 to 507 of the family's 1533-position model. The record is from RNAcentral.